AUUGAACGCUGGCGGCAUGCCUUACACAUGCAAGUCGAACGGCAGCGCGGACUUCGGUCUGGCGGCGAGUGGCGAACGGGUGAGUAACAUAUCGGAACGUGCCCUGGAGUGGGGGAUAACUAGUCGAAAGAUUAGCUAAUACCGCAUACGAUCUACGGAUGAAAGUGGGGGAUCGCAAGACCUCAUGCUCGUGGAGCGGCCGAUAUCUGAUUAGCUAGGUGGGGGGGUAAAGGACUACCAAGGCAUCGAUCAGUAGCUGGUCUGAGAGGACGACCAGCCACACUGGGACUGAGACACGGCCCAGACUCCUACGGGAGGCAGCAGUGGGGAAUUUUGGACAAUGGGGGCAACCCUGAUCCAGCAAUGCCGCGUGAGUGAAGAAGGCCUUCGGGUUGUAAAGCUCUUUUGUCAGGGAAGAAACGGUCCGGGCUAAUAUCCUGGGCUAAUGACGGUACCUGAAGAAUAAGCACCGGCUAACUACGUGCCAGCCGCCGCGGUAA
This 500-nucleotide ribosomal RNA is filed under the name uncultured bacterium. RNAcentral describes it as "partial 16S ribosomal RNA". It matches the Rfam family "Bacterial small subunit ribosomal RNA", at positions 30 to 523 of the family's 1533-position model. The record is from RNAcentral.